Molecule: small RNA, 695 nt
Filed under: Pan troglodytes (chimpanzee)
Lineage: Eukaryota; Metazoa; Chordata; Mammalia; Primates; Hominidae
Description: processed transcript
Source: RNAcentral
GGCCCGCCGCCUCCGCUGCCGCUUCGCCCCAAUCCGGUCCCUCUGACCCGGCCUGACCCGGUCUGGCUUGUUCGGGCUCAGCGGCCGCGAGGCCGCAGCUCCCGAUGGAAAUCAUAUUAUGUAGAAUACUUGGGUGACAUCUGCCUGAGAGAUCUCCAAGAAUUACAGAUUGAGUCUCGCUCUGUUGCCCAGGCUGGAGUGCAGUGGUGCAAUCUCUGCUCACUGCAACCUCCGUCUCCCGAGUUCAAGCAGUUCUCCUGCCUCAGCCUCCUGAGUAGCUGGGAUUACAGGUAUCUCAUUCAGUUGCUAAACUUAUAUUAGUUAAUUUCCACUGGCAAGUUUCAGAGAUAUUGGACAGAUACAAGUCCAAUUCUGCUCAACUGCUUGUUGAGGCUCGAGUUCAGCCUAAUCCAUCAAAACAUGUUCCCACAUCCCAUCCCCCUCACCACUGUGCAGUGUGUAUGCAGUUUGUGCGAAAGGAAAACCUACUCUCUCUGGCCUGUCAGCACCAGUUUUGCCGUAGCUGCUGGGAGCAGCACUGCUCAGUUCUCGUCAAGGACGGCGUGGGCGUGGGAGUCUCUUGUAUGGCUCAGGACUGUCCACUCCGUACACCAGAGGACUUUGUGUUUCCAUUGCUUCCCAAUGAAGAAUUGAGAGAGAAAUACAGGCGCUACCUCUUCAGGGACUAUGUGGAG